UUUGUUUUAGUCUAUUUUGUUUCAUAUUGCCAUUCCCUUGUACACUGGUAGUGAAUCUGUAAUACCCUGUAAACAAGGGCAGACAGUAUAUUAGCAGACUCAUUGUUUUCAAAAUACUAGCUGUUGUGUUGCAUCACUUGUUUAAUGCCCUAUUUGAUAUGUUCAAGUAGCAUGCAUCCCUCAGUUUGCUAACAUCACCUGCGUCUCAUAUUACAACAGGAGUGAGAUCAGAUGCUGUACAUUACAUGCAAAAUGUCAUCACUCUCCAGUGACAAAAGAAACAAGGAGGAAAUAACCACUCAUGCUUUGUGUGGAUGAGAGAUUGGGAGGUCUGAUGACUCGUUUGUGUUUCUGGAAUUCAGCUAAGGAUGCACUGGUUGCUGACCUACUGAAAAUUUCAACGUGUCCAACAGAAGCCGUGAAAAUUUGUCCAAGGGCCGUGUUAAAAAUAUCCCUAGGCCAUUAUAGCCUGUAAGAAGGUAAGAGAGAAAAGUGUGUUUUAAGGAAGAUUCAAAAAAAUGGCACAAUUUCUGAGUAAAAGAUCUCAGAAAGAUAAUGGGUAUCAGAAGACAUAUUAAAUGUCCUGAUGACUUUCAAGACUAGGCUGGAAAUAACAUGAGGAUGAACUGCUAUUCAACAGUCCAUCCCUUAGUAGAAAUAAGUUCAAAGAAAUAUCAAGCAAAUGUCACUAAUCCUUUUGAAUUAGCAGUGCAAGUUCAUGAGGUGACUUGUGCAAGUGAUGUAAUAUGCAGAAAACCUCGAAAAACUGAACAUACAUUAUAUGUGAAGCAAGAAGCAAAGUAAACUGGAACAUUGAAAUGAAACCAAGUGGCAUGCAUUCUGUAUCCACAUCAAAGGUCUGGAAAAAACGCAUUAGAAACAAGGUAAUGUCUAUUUUUUGAACUUCAGUAUCAUAUAGAAAUUGCACAUUGUGUUGCAGCCACUCUGACCUCAUGCCGCUUAGCAUGAGGUUUGGACUUAAGAAGGAUUAACAUGAGUGGGACAGUUGCAAACAGUUGGGGGUAUUUUGCUUGUUUGUUUAUUUACCUUCAUGAUCAUUUGAUCCACAUUACAUUUAUGGAUCUGGUAAUACCAUUUAGUGAAGCCCAUGUAUUAAAUAUCAGUUAAAAAAAAAUAAAAAGUGUGUUUUUAUAAAACA
Molecule: long non-coding RNA, 1159 nt
Filed under: Phasianus colchicus (ring-necked pheasant)
Lineage: Eukaryota; Metazoa; Chordata; Aves; Galliformes; Phasianidae
Description: lncRNA (ENSPCLG00000010810.1)
Source: RNAcentral